This is a long non-coding RNA of Aplysia californica (California sea hare), 602 nucleotides long. RefSeq lists it as uncharacterized. The transcript has 2 exons. Lineage: Eukaryota; Metazoa; Mollusca; Gastropoda; Aplysiida; Aplysiidae. The record is from RefSeq and is a predicted model, not a curated record.
AAUCACUUUUGGGACAGUAAAAGGCAAUCUUCUCUUCAACCUCAAAAGUUAUAAGAGUUACGAUUUUUCCAACACACUCCCUUCCCUCUGACCCAGUUACGCUGCUUUCGUGCGCUCAGCAGCUAGCCUAGCCUACCGGAAAUCCUCUCGCUUCGCUCGUUCCCGAGUCGAAUGUGCUGUUGUAUGACUUAUGUGUGUGUGUGGUACCGAUUCGCCUGUGCACUUAAAACGACACAGGGGAAGUUGGGCUUGGUCAAGUGUGCAGAUUUCGUUUCUUGACACACCCAGGACUGCCUAUUAUAGUCGGCUGGGGAUACUUAAGCCGAACACUUUCUAGGCUUGUGGAUCAACUACUGCACAGCCAAGAUGCCCGUCUUCCACACGAAGACGAUAGAGAGUAUCUUGGAACCUGUCGCUCAACAGGUCUCCCGACUGGUUAUCCUUCAUGAAGAGGCAGAAGAUGGAAACGCCAUGCCGGACCUUGCCCACCCGGUGCAAGUGGUCAAGCUGGCUGUGGAUAACUUGGUCAAGGUAUGCUGUACCCCCCAAUUUUUUUUUUUUCAAAAAAGAAAACAUGAAAAUAUAUGGGGGAAAAAAAAAAA